This 1658-nucleotide small RNA is filed under the name Pan troglodytes (chimpanzee). Its description in RNAcentral is "processed transcript". Lineage: Eukaryota; Metazoa; Chordata; Mammalia; Primates; Hominidae. The record is from RNAcentral.
GGAAGUGCUUGGCCACAGUCGCAGCCCCUGCGCCCCGGAGCGGGAAAAAGGCUGGGUGCCGCCGUCCCUCAGCUGCGCAACCCUAGGAACUCUCGGAUCAACCUGGAUGCCUUCCUUCACAAUAAUCUCAUGGAGGUAAUUUAAAGAAUCCCUUUUUUGGAGAGUCAGAGAGAAAAGCAAAAAAAACAGCAUGAGGAAUUUGAAGACUGAGAGAUGAGUUGUGUAGCACCAACAUUUUCUUUCUGCCUGACCUUCAUACCUGAUGAAUUAAAAGGGCAAUAAUUAAGGUGGAAUUUGCCUCACAUGAAGUUUUAUUAUUUUAGUUAUUAAAAUAUUUUCCAACACUACUGAGAAGCAAAAAGCAAUUCUCGUUGUUUUAAAAACAUAGGAUGUUUGGAAGAGUGAGAUAAGGGACACAUUGAAACCAAGAGGCAAUCUGAAGGCUACCUUGACACAUCUGCAAAGCUCCCAGAUUCUGACUUUCACAAGACUUGGAUUCUGUUUCUGGGCCUCGCCUAAACAGUCUGCCAGUCAUCCGAACCGUGGCAGGAUGGAGAUGUUUGUGUAAGGUAGACUCAAGUUUGCAAGACUCAAGAAGGAAACCACCAAACUAAUUUUACUUUCACUUAAACCAGAUUGAAACCAAGACUUGAAGAAUUAAAAACUUUGACAUUAACCAUUGAUUCACUCCAAUGAAAUAAUUGUGUUAUAGCCAGAAUCAUGGUGAAAUUGGAACAAGGCUUUUGAUGGGAUUUUUAAUUGAGGGACUUAUAUUAAAUUGGAUAUUUUCUUUAAUGAACAGCAUGUGGCCAAAAUUCUAUUUUCAUUAAAGUAUAUUAAGCAUCAUGACAACUCAUAUUAAACCUGCAACAAAUGAUUAAUGACAUUUAGAGACUUCAAAUGUCAUGAGACACCUUAAAUAUUAAGAAUCAAAAAGAACACCUCAAAGUUGUUUCUAUUCUUAGUAAUUAUGCUUAAAAAAAAUCUUUCCUUGCUUUGAAAGCCAGUUGCUAAAAAUAAAAACUGUUCCAUGAAAAAUCACAAUGCCCAAUGAUAAAUUUAUGUAUUUGUUUUUUAAAGGGGGAGGAUGGUGAGAAAAAUAGAAAGCUCCUGGCUGACAUCAGAGGUCACAAGAUGAGUUCCUCAUUUGUCCAAAUGACAUUCAGCUGCUAAAAGAAGUCAGACUUUUAGAGGGCUGUUGAAAAGACAGUAAGUCAGGAGGUUUUCAGUACAUGACUGCAGGGGAAUCAGACACAGGCUAGUCACUUAAGUUGCUUAAUUGUCCGUGUACCCUUAGCCCACGACUUCAGGGCUCAGCAGCUUCAUCCUUCAUGGCACCAAACCUUGACGUAAGGGAUUCAAAGACACACUCAUAAGAAUCGUGAAUUUGUCCGCAUGCAAAAUUUGGGGGACUGGCUACAAAACCGAAACAAGGAGAUCGUAUCCCUAAGUGAAAGGGACUUUAUAUUAAUUGUCAGUUAUAACAAUAUGUAAAAUACAUAAAAGAGAUAGAGCACUGCAGGCCAUCAAGGUCAAACAUUUGAAACAGAAUUAAACUAAAUUAUAAGGAGGAUUAAAUGGCUUUUGUCUUUGUAAAGAAAAGAAUGUGCAUGCAUUGAUUGCCUAUGUAGAAGGAUUAAUAAAUCUUUUGGCAUGGU